This 708-nucleotide ribosomal RNA is filed under the name uncultured Basidiomycota. RNAcentral's name for it is "eukaryotic LSU rRNA". The stretch from base 262 to 415 matches the Rfam family "5.8S ribosomal RNA". Lineage: Eukaryota; Fungi; Basidiomycota. The record is from RNAcentral.
CUUGGUCAUUUAGAGGAAGUAAAAGUCGUAACAAGGUUUCCGUAGGUGAACCUGCGGAAGGAUCAUUAACAAAUCGUUUGUAGACUCUAGAUUCGUCUAGACGACACAACAUAAACCCGAACCUGUGCAGCAAUGCCAGGCAAGGUGUACGGUCGAGAGGCCGUACGGGAAAAGAUCCUUGCUCCCUUUUGGGGGGCGGGAUUGGAUCCCAAAUAGACGCUUGUAUGUUUGACAGAGUAUAGUUGACACUUUAAAAAUGACAACUUUUAACAAUGGAUCUCUUGGCUCUUGCAACGAUGAAGAACGCAGUGAAAUGCGAAACGUAAUGCGAUUUGCACGAAUCUGUGAGUCAUCAAGUCUUUGAACGCACCUUGCACCAUAUGAGCAAUUGUAUGGUAUACCUGUUUGAGAAUCGUAAAACAACCAUCACUCUAUUUUAUAGAGUGGAAUUGUCGGAUUCACAAAACGUGUUCGAUCAAAUGAAUUAGGUUUGGAUCAGGCUAGUGGCCUGAGACACUGUGUGCUAGAGACUUAAGAAGCCUUUGCGGGCUGAUUGUCUUCUCACGGUGCGUCUCGGGUCAAUUUAAAGCUGGCCUGCAAAGGACCUUUAACUGCGCCAAUGCCUUGUGCAUUGGGCAACCCCCAAAUCAUUGAUCUCAAAUCAGGUAAGGCUACCCGCUGAACUUAAGCAUAUCAAUAAGCGGAGGA